Molecule: ribosomal RNA, 501 nt
Filed under: uncultured bacterium
Lineage: Bacteria
Description: bacterial SSU rRNA
Rfam family: Bacterial small subunit ribosomal RNA
Source: RNAcentral
AGAGUUUGAUCCUGGCUCAGGAUGAACGCUAGCGGCGGGCCUAAUACAUGCAAGUCGAACGGAUUUAAUCUUUCGGGAUUAAGUUAGUGGCGCACGGGUGAGUAACGCGUACACAACGUGUCUUAGUAGAGGGGGAUAGCCUUGGGAAACUGAGAGUAAUACCCCAUAGUAUUGCGAGAAGGCAUCUUUUGCAAUUAAACCUACGGGGCUAUAAGGUUCGGUGUGCGUUAGAUUAGCUAGAUGGUGGGGUAACGGCUCACCAUGGCAACGAUCUAUAAGGGGCGUGAGAGCGUGAUCCCUCACACGGGUACUGAGACACGGACCCGACUCCUACGGGAGGCAGCGGUAAGGAAUAUUGGUCAAUGCCCGGAAGGGUGAACCAGCCACGCCGCGUGGAGGAUGAAGGCGCUAUGCGUUGUAAACUUCUUUAGAAUGGGAAGAAAAUUAGAUAUUCAUAUUUAACUGACGGUACCAUUAGAAUAAGCACCGGCUAACUCCGUG